UUUAAUGGGCACAGUCGUAUUUUUAUGAAUUUUUCUUAUUUAAAUAUUUAUUGUGAAGACUUAUAUGUUAUUAAAUCUUAAGCCUAGUAUGAGAUUAUCCCUUUAGUUGAAAGAUGACACCAUUCUUGUUUUCCACGUGUAGAGACUUAGAAUUGGGUUUAAUCAAAUCAUCAUUGCCAUGCCACCUUGCAUGCUAGUAACAAGUGGUGUUGUGAUAUUAUUUACCAAAGGUGGAUGACUC
This 241-nucleotide long non-coding RNA is filed under the name Prunus persica (peach). RNAcentral's name for it is "long non-coding RNA (PPER_LNC007799)". The record is from RNAcentral. Lineage: Eukaryota; Viridiplantae; Streptophyta; Magnoliopsida; Rosales; Rosaceae.